Long non-coding RNA from Helicoverpa armigera (cotton bollworm), 768 nucleotides. RefSeq lists it as uncharacterized. The record is from RefSeq and is a predicted model, not a curated record. The transcript is spliced from 3 exons. Lineage: Eukaryota; Metazoa; Arthropoda; Insecta; Lepidoptera; Noctuidae.
GAUUAUAUAUUUUAUUUAUUUAUCUAAAUACGAGAAUCGAGAUUUCAAAGCAAAUGGCUUUAAGCGGUCAACAGUGGACUUUAAAAAAAGUUGUACCCAUAGCCACCGGUAUUCUACUUGUCCUGUGUUUUAGUUUGGGUCCAAAACUAUCGAAAUGUCUCGCAACGCACUGCCUUCGUUGAGUCAGCUGGAAGAGCUAGUAAGCUUUUUGGAAAGCAAACCUUGUUUGAUUAUGGUGGGCCAUGAUCGUACUGCAAAUGCGAGCAGUCAUCAGGCAUGAUCCGAAAACAACAGCCCUAAACAGUGAAGUAGUGGGUGUAUGAAAAUAUUGGGGCAGUGGUGUAAGUACUGGAAGGACAAAAAGGAGCAGUUCAGAGGAAGUCCAGUUCAAUUGCAGCUGCGAGGCAACAUGAAGAAUUUGCCAGAACUCGGUGUAAUCAAGUUAAAAAUACAUUCCAUUAUGCGAGGAGAAUGUAUUGGAAUCUGAAUUUAGAAAUAAAUGCAUGUUCAUUAUAAAAUACAAAAUAAUAAAAAGACAUGUUGAAUUAAAAUAUUGUUUUAUUAAUUCAUGAUAAUAGAAAAGUUAGGUAUUUUUAUAAAAAUUACUUUGAUACCUGCACACUAUUGUGUAAUGUUAAAAAUGUUUAUAUUACUAUUUAACAUACACAGGUAAAAUACAUAUGUAUUGUUAGAAGGUGUCUACAUAGUGUUGUUUAUAAAAUAACUUCUAGCAUGACAUCCACUGUCCAAGUCACUGCUAGAGUCCAG